AUUGAACGCUGGCGGAAUGCUUUACACAUGCAAGUCGAACGGUAACAGGUCUUCGGAUGCUGACGAGUGGCGAACGGGUGAGUAAUAUAUCGGAACGUGCCCAGUCGUGGGGGAUAACGUAGCGAAAGUUACGCUAAUACCGCAUACGAUCUAUUGAUGAAAGCGGGGGAUCGCAAGACCUCGCGCGAUUGGAGCGGCCGAUAUCAGAUUAGGUAGUUGGUGGGGUAAAGGCUCACCAAGCCAACGAUCUGUAGCUGGUCUGAGAGGACGACCAGCCACACUGGAACUGAGACACGGUCCAGACUCCUACGGGAGGCAGCAGUGGGGAAUUUUGGACAAUGGGCGAAAGCCUGAUCCAGCCAUGCCGCGUGUGUGAAGAAGGUCUUCGGAUUGUAAAGCACUUUAAGUCGGGAGGAAGGGCUGUAGGCUAAUACCUUGCAGUUUUGACGUUACCGACAGAAUAAGCACCGGCUAACUUCGUGCCAGCCGCCGCUGUAA
RNAcentral lists this ribosomal RNA (498 nucleotides) under uncultured bacterium. RNAcentral describes it as "partial 16S ribosomal RNA". It matches the Rfam family "Bacterial small subunit ribosomal RNA", at positions 30 to 523 of the family's 1533-position model. The record is from RNAcentral.